AUUGAACGCUGGCGGCAUGCCUUACACAUGCAAGUCGAACGGUAACAGGUCUUCGGAUGCUGACGAGUGGCGAACGGGUGAGUAAUACAUCGGAACGUGCCUAGUAGUGGGGGAUAACUACUCGAAAGAGUGGCUAAUACCGCAUGAGAUCUACGGAUGAAAGCAGGGGAUCGCAAGACCUUGUGCUACUAGCGCGGCCGAUGGCAGAAUAGGUAGUUGGUGGGAUAAAAGCUUACCAAGCCGACGAUCUGUAGCUGGUCUGAGAGGACGAUCAGCCACACUGGGACUGAGACACGGCCCAGACUCCUACGGGAGGCAGCAGUGGGGAAUUUUGGACAAUGGGCGCAAGCCUGAUCCAGCAAUGCCGCGUGCAGGAUGAAGGCCUUCGGGUUGUAAACUGCUUUUGUACGGAACGAAAAGCCCUGGGUUAAUACCCUGGGGUCAUGACGGUACCGUAAGAAUAAGCACCGGCUAACUACGUGCCAGCAGCCGCCGUAA
This 498-nucleotide ribosomal RNA is filed under the name uncultured bacterium. RNAcentral describes it as "partial 16S ribosomal RNA". It matches the Rfam family "Bacterial small subunit ribosomal RNA", at positions 30 to 523 of the family's 1533-position model. The record is from RNAcentral.